UUCGGCUAACGACCCUCCACCAAUCAAGCAAGCGGUGGGUGUGAGUGUACACCCAUUAAGCGCCAUUUUAUAGGCCGCAACCUUAUACCCACCUUAUAGAUCGGCUUCGUGAAUGAGGCCUACUAACGGUAAGACUAGCAUUUAGUUAUACAUAUAUAUAUUAUUCUAGUAAUAUCAUAUUAGUAUAGGGUUGUAUUUUAAAACUUUUAAAAUCUAGGGUUUGAAAUUUAAGUUGUCUAAAUUAAAACUUUUAAUCACAAAAGUAAAUUUCAAAACAUGAGGGUAGGUUUUAAACAUUUAAAACAUGGAGGAUCAAAUAACAAAUAAUUCCAAUUAACAAUUAAUAUCCUAAUUAUCUAUAUUUGAUUUAUUCAAGAUUUCUUUUAAAGAUAAUUACCAAAAUAAUCAAAAUAAUUAAUUAAUUAUCAUAUAAGGAAAUUAAAUAUUUAAUUAGUUGAUAAUUACCUUUAACUAGAUCAAGAUAAUAGUUAUAUUUAUCAGAAAAACGAAUUAAUGUUGAUCUAAUUAGUUUAUGGUAAGUUAAGAUAAGAUAAACACAAAGAAAUCCCGAAUCUGGCCAUUCCUGACGCCUGGACUCGCCGAGUGCACAAAUGGACUCGCCGAGUCAGGCCUACUCGCCGAGUCCACUUUGAGACUCGCCGAGUCCAUGACUCAGAAACCAAAAAUUCGAAUUUUGCAGGUUUGUUUCAGUUAAUCAAGCAACAAUUUACAGAAAACCAAGCUAGGCUCUGAUACCACUGAUGGGUUUUAGCCAUAAGAACUUUCCUAUGUGCGCAUGCAAAACCCUAAUGCUUGGAUCUAGGCUUUCUAAUAAACAUGCUUUGAAUCCAAGACUUCUAAUUACUAAUUAGGUUAAACAAGAACAUUAAAACAGAUCUAGAAUCAUACCUUUGAGUUCCUUGUUGAUCUUGAGGUCUUGGAGCUUCUAGAGUCACAAAUGUCACUCCUCUAAUGGCUUACAAACACCAAAGCAAGGAGGAUGAUUUGGGAGAGAGGAGAGGGGAGGAAUUUCGACCAGAGGUUCCUUACUUUAGGUCAAGUGUCGAAUUCCAUCAGCCAUGGGGUCUAUUUAUACUUGUAGACUCCUUAAGGAUUACAGAUAAGUCCCUAUCAGAUAAUCUUCUCUUAAGGCUAUCCAAAUCCAUUCCUAGAUAACUCUAAUGGACGAUUUUAGCUAUCCUAAUCCUCUUAGAAUUCGUCCAUAGUAUAUCCAAAUGGAUUUACAGUUUAAAGCUUAACUAUCAAACAAUUGACAGUUUAUACCCCUUUAUUUAAUUAAUCUCUUUAAGUCACCAAAUUAAUUCUAAUUAAUUCUAUGACUUAUAUUAAUCAAAUAACAAAUAUAUUAUUCAUUAUAUUAUUCCCAUAAUAUAUUAAUAAUAUUUAUUCUCUCUUAAUAAAUCAUCCUAUCAAGUUGCUAUGGUGAAGGCAACCCAAAAGGACCAUGCACAACCGGAUAUAGUUACAGCCUUAGACACUAUUCCAACAGUCUCCCACUUGGAUAAGUCUAGUAACUAUACAAGUACAAUUCGGUUUGCAAUCGUAGCUCUCAAAGACGCUGUCAACUCUGAUCUAAUCAAUCUUGUCCUUUAGAUAAGGGAACGUACAGUCCUCUGUUAGAUAUCAUGCUGACAAUCCUAUGGAAUGGUUAGUCAAGCAUUUAGGUUUCUCGAUCUCUGAUUUAUUUGACAUAGAACUUAAUCGAACACAUCAAUUCAGUUCUGACCGGGCCCGGCACAUAAGUCAAAUCAAAUCAUCGAGCGGCCGAGAUAUCGCUUUUACCUUCUUAGAUAAAAGUUACAGAUAAACUUCGACUUAUAUGCAUUUACUUAUUCAUUAACCAACUAUACACAACAAUACGUUUUAUAACACCAAGUUACUGAUGCGUUUUCGUAUUAUCAAUGUACAAUCAAUUAACAAAUAAUAAACCAUAUAUCUAGGUUUUAAGACUAUAUGAUAUUAUCGUCUUGCGAUCACCUUUUAUAUCGUAUUCCAUAAGGUGAUUCCAGCAAGCGCGGGUUUAUUCCAAUGCUCAAAACUAGUUCAUAAGCACUCAUGAACGUUGCAGCAAUCCUUUGCUAUGUCUAACACCAUUUAGACAUUCUACACACCAAUUCAUGACAAUCUUCUUUCAUAUCUACUCCCAACAUAUGAACGAUUGUGGACCAUUUGAAUAAUUCGAUUAUUCCUAAUAAACUCAAUUAUUCUGGAAGUCAAAACAUGCAAAGUGAAACAAUAGCUAAACAAUUAACAUAAGAUAGUAACAUUACUCAUAAAUAAAACUCCUUUAUUUAAUCAUCAAAUGUCAAUUACAUUUAUCUAUUACACGUUUCUAAUACUAUCUAAUCUAUGCUAAUAUCAUCCUUCAGCCCAAUACUCCUAGCAUGCUGCAAGUGCUUAACCCUACUCAGUCCCUUCGUAAGCGGAUCUGCUGGGUUAUCUUCUGAUGAUAUCCUCUUCACUACGAGUUGUCCUUCUUCUACACGAUGUCUAAUGAAGUGAUACUUUCUGUCGAUAUGUCUUGAUCUACCAUGAUCCCUCGGUUCCUUGGUUAAGGCAACCGCACCUUCGUUAUCACAGAAAAUCUCCAUUGGCUCCUUUAUGGCAGGUACGACUCCAAGAUCACCGAUGAAGUUCUUUAGCCAUAUUGCCUCCUUCGACGCUUCGCUCGCUGCAAUGUACUCUGAUUCGCACGUUGAAUCAGCUACGGUUUCCUGCUUGGAACUCUUCCAUGUCACUGCUCCUCCAUUUAGGGUAAAGACCCAGCCCGACUGCGAACGGUAGUUGUCCCUGUCGGUCUGAAAACUGGCGUCACUAUACCCUCGCACCUUCAAGUCAUCACUCCCUCCGAGGACUAAGAACCAUUCCUUCGUCCUCCGAAGGUACUUAAGGAUAUUCUUCACCGCAAUCCAAUGUGCUUUGCCAGGAUUCCCUUGAUAUCUGCUAACCAUGCUCAAAGCGAAGGCUACAUCAGGGCGAGUACAAGUCAUAGCGUACAUGAUUGAGCCAACUGCGGAAGCGUAUGGUACUCGGCUCAUUUCUGCUAUCUCAGCUUCGGUACUCGGACUUUGAGUCUUACUCAAUUUGGCAUUACUUUGUAUCGGUAGUUCUCCCUUCUUUGAGUUUUCCAUACUAAAACGUUUUAGUACCUUCUCUAAGUAAGUAUUCUGACUAAGUCCAAUUAGUCUCUUACUUCUUUCUCUUACUAUCCUUAUUCCCAAAAUGUAAGAAGCCUCUCCGAGGUCCUUCAUAGCGAAGCACUUCCCGAGCCAGGACUUAACCUCCUGCAGAGUCGGGAUGUCGUUUCCUAUGAGUAAUAUGUCAUCGACAUAUAGAACGAGGAAGCUUACUAUACUCCCACUGGCUUUGACAUAUACACAAGAUUCGUCUUCGCUUCGUACAAAUCCAAACUCUUUGACUUUCUCAUCGAAGCAAAGAUUCCAUCUGCGAGACGCUUGCUUAAGUCCAUAAAUGGACUUCUCAAGCUUACACACUCUAUUCGGAUGCUUCGGAUCCACAAACCCCUCUGGCUGAGCCAUGUAAACAUCCUCAGCCAACUUUCCGUUAAGGAAAGCGGUCUUGACAUCCAUUUGCCAAAUCUCAUAAUCAUGAAAUGCGGCAAUUGCUAGCAUCACUCUAAUAGAUUUAAUCUUCGCAACUGGUGAGAAGGUCUCAUCAUAGUCAACUCCGGGAGUUUGAGUAAAGCCCUUCGCAACCAAUCGCGCUUUAUAUGUGUGUACGUUUCCAUCCACGUCGGUCUUCUUCUUGAAGAUCCAUUUGCACCCAACGGUCUUACGUCCGGGCACAUAAUCAACCAAAUUCCAAACUUGGUUAUCAUACAUGGAUUGGAUCUCGCUAUCCAUUGCCUCUUUCCAUUUUGCAGACUCCGGGCCUGCCAUGGCUUCCUUAUAGCUAUUAGGUUCAUCAAGAUUUAUUAGUGUACCAUCACUAAUAUACGUGUCCCCUUCGGUAGUAAUAUGAAAACCAUAAAACUGGGGUUGAACUCUAACUCUAUCGGAACGUCUAAGAGGUAAGGAUUCGUCAAUCGGUUCAACCGGAGUUUCCUCCUCGGGUUGAGUGCCAGCGGUAGAGGUUCCUUCAUCUAUCGACUCUUGAAUCUCUUCAAGCUCGAUUUGCCUCCCACUGUCUCCUUGGCUUAUGAGUUCUCGCUCUCGGAAAACUCCUCUCCUCGCAACGAAGACAACAUUGUCCUUCGGUCUAUAGAAGAGAUAUCCAAAGGAUGUCUGCGGGUAGCCGAUGAAAAUACAUCGCUCACUUCGAGGUUCAAGCUUGUCGUGAGUAUCUCGUCUUACGAAAGCCUCGCAACCCCAAACCUUGAUAUGUGCCAACGAGGGAGCUUUCCCUGUCCACAUCUCGUGAGGUGUUUUGGCAACCUUCUUAGUAGGGACUCGGUUAAGGAUAUGGGCGGCAGUCUCUAAGGCAUACCCCCAAAAAGAGAUUGGUAGUGAAGCACGACUCAUCAUAGAGCGAACCAUAUCCAAUAAGGUUCGAUUACGCCUUUCUGCCACACCAUUCAACUGCGGUGUCCUAGGAGGCGUCAAUUGCGAAACUAUUCCACACUCCUUGAGAUAAUCGUGGAAUUCAAGACUUAGGUACUCUCCUCCUCGAUCGGAUCGAAGCAUCUUGAUUUUCCUGCCCAAUUGAUUCUCCACUUCAUUCUUGAACUCUUUGAACUUUUCAAAGGUUUCUGACUUUUGCUUGAUUAAGUAGAUAUACCCAUAUCUACUAUAGUCAUCGGUAAAAGUCACAUAGAAGCGGUUCCCAUCCUUCGUGGUUGAUCUAAACGGUCCACAUACAUCGGUAUGUAUUAGGUCCAAUAGACCCUCGCCCCUUUCACAUGUACUCGUGAAGGGUGACUUAGUCAUCUUUCCAAGCAAACAAGACUCGCAUGUGUCAUCUUCCCUAAGGUCGAAUGACUCCAACACUCCAUCCUUUUGGAGUUGGGCUAUGCGUUUCUUGUUGACAUGUCCAAGACGACAAUGCCACAAGGAUGCUUUAUCCAUACUAGUGGAAGAAUCAAUAUUCAAAACAUCAUUUCCUAAGUUAUCAACAAUCAUAACGGUUUCAUAUAUUCCAUUACAUGGUAUAGCUUCAAAGUAAAAGACACCAUUUAGAUAAGCCAAAAUAGAACCAUUCUCAUUAUUAAAAGAAAAUCUAAAUCCUUGUCUAUAUAAACCAUGAAAUGAAAUGAUGUUUCUUGCCAUUUCUGGCGAAUAGCAACAAUUGUUCAAAUCUAAAACUAAACUAUUCCUAAGCACUAAGGAAUACACUCCAAUCUUGGUCACAGGCGACGAUCUUCUGUUCCCCAUGAUUAGAUUGAUCCUUCCUUGCUCCACAUCCCUACUUCUUCUUAGUCCCUGCACAUUAGAACAAAUGUGAUAACCACAACCGGUAUCAAGAACCCAAGAAAUAGCAUGAUUAGAAUCGUUAGAUUUGAUUGUAUAUAUACCUGCGAAAGAUGGCUUGAUCUUUCCUUCUUUGAUUGCUUGCAGGUAAUCCGGGCAGCUUCUCUUCCAAUGUCCUAUCUUGUGGCAGUGGUGGCACUCUGCCUCCUUCGGGUUAGAGCAGGGCUUGGCGGGAUCAACUUUGGUCCCACUAGAAGAGGCACCAUCUCGGGCUUUCACCUUGCGAUAGUUCUUCGAUGAAGCUUUCCUCUUCUUUCCCUUCCCUUGUCCAAUAGCCAAGACAGGAGCAGCGGGCGGAUUGGGAGUAGGUGCAACAGACUUGUCUUUGAAGUUGCUCUCAGCAACCCUCAAGAGACCUUGGAGCUUGCUUAGGGUGACCUCUUCUUUGUUCAUGUGGUAGGUCAUCCUAAAUUGGUUGUACAUCGGAGGCAAAGAGUGAAGCACCAUGUCGAUCGCCAAGUCUUCACCGAAGUCAACAUUUAACUUGCGGAGGCGGUCAACAUACCUUUGCAUCUUUUGCAAGUGCACGGUAAGAGAUUCUCCAUGACCCAUCUUCGCGGAAAUCAUGUUAGUGAAAAUCUCGUACCUCUCUUGUCUCGCGUUUUGGUGGUACCUCUCCAAUAAGUCUUGAUGCAUCUCGUACGGGUACAUGUCCUCGUAGGACUUUUGGAAUUCGGAGUUCAUGGUGGCGAUCAUGAUGCAAUGUACCUUCGUUGCAUCUCGCUCAUGAGUUUCAAAGGCGGUGAUUUCGGCGGGAGUAGCAAUUUCGGGGUUGAUUUUCUCGAGCUUCUCAUCGAGGACAUACUCCUUAUCCUCAUAGCGAGCAAUGGUGCGAAUGUAUCUUAUCCAUUCGCUAAAGUUCGUUCCAUCGAAGGUGACCUUUUGGCAAAGGCUCAUCAACGUGAAAGAACUAGCAGCAGCGUUGUUUGCGUUCGACAUCUACAAUUAGAAAAGGACAAAGAUAGAUUAGAAUAAGAAUCCCUAAUUAUCACCCAAUAAGAAAAUUAGGGCUAGGAUCCAACAAUAACAUUUACAUACUAGAAAAGGGAUGCCGUAAUCUAACAUGCAAAUAAAUUGAAGGUAAGUGAAUGACGAUUCACUAAUUCUCCAUCACAAAACUUAAACUAUUAGUCCUAAGUGUUUUUGAGAAUUCCUAGGUUCGGAUGAGAUUCAUUGAAACUAUUCAAUGGCAUGUUUAAAUCUCGAUAUGCCCCUCUUGUUUGUGACUGGGAUGCCGAGGAUCACAAAGCGGGUGUGAAUUACCAUGCAAAUUCACAUGGUGCCUUCAUUGUAACAAUCACCUAUUCGAUGUGCCGGUAAACCACACACGCUCCAUCGAACUAUGAUAAACAAUGAAUCACCCUUUGCCACCUUCGCUUAGAACCAAUUAGUGUGCCGGUAAACCACACACGCUCCACUAACAUCUUAGCAAGGUGCAAAGUGUAAUUUCAUGGGAUUGCAUCAAUUCACUUUUCCUAAAGUAACUAGGAUUGGGAAAUUUUAAAAAAAUGUGUAGUUACUUUAUAUUUCUUAUUAUACUUUUAAUGAGAGGAUGAGGUUGCCCUAUCCUACCCGUUCGGCUAACGACCCUCCACCAAUCAAGCAAGCGGUGGGUGUGAGUGUACACCCAUUAAGCGCCAUUUUAUAGGCCGCAACCUUAUACCCACCUUAUAGAUCGGCUUCGUGAAUGAGGCCUACUAACGGUAAGACUAGCAUUUAGUUAUACAUAUAUAUAUUAUUCUAGUAAUAUCAUAUUUGUAUAGUGUUGUAUUUUAAAACUUUUAAAAUCUAGGGUUUGAAAUUUAAGUUGUCUA
This 7261-nucleotide long non-coding RNA is filed under the name Lactuca sativa (garden lettuce). RNAcentral describes it as "long non-coding RNA (LSAT_LNC006115)". The record is from RNAcentral. Lineage: Eukaryota; Viridiplantae; Streptophyta; Magnoliopsida; Asterales; Asteraceae.